RNAcentral lists this ribosomal RNA (1501 nucleotides) under Enterobacter sp. DBM6. Its description in RNAcentral is "bacterial SSU rRNA". It matches the Rfam family "Bacterial small subunit ribosomal RNA". The record is from RNAcentral. Lineage: Bacteria; Pseudomonadati; Pseudomonadota; Gammaproteobacteria; Enterobacterales; Enterobacteriaceae.
AGAGUUUGAUCCUGGCUCAGAUUGAACGCUGGCGGCAGGCCUAACACAUGCAAGUCGAGCGGUAGCACAGGGAGCUUGCUCUCGGGUGACGAGCGGCGGACGGGUGAGUAAUGUCUGGGAAACUGCCUGAUGGAGGGGGAUAACUACUGGAAACGGUAGCUAAUACCGCAUAACGUCGCAAGACCAAAGAGGGGGACCUUCGGGCCUCUUGCCAUCAGAUGUGCCCAGAUGGGAUUAGCUAGUAGGUGGGGUAACGGCUCACCUAGGCGACGAUCCCUAGCUGGUCUGAGAGGAUGACCAGCCACACUGGAACUGAGACACGGUCCAGACUCCUACGGGAGGCAGCAGUGGGGAAUAUUGCACAAUGGGCGCAAGCCUGAUGCAGCCAUGCCGCGUGUAUGAAGAAGGCCUUCGGGUUGUAAAGUACUUUCAGCGAGGAGGAAGGUGCUGAGGUUAAUAACCUCAGCAAUUGACGUUACUCGCAGAAGAAGCACCGGCUAACUCCGUGCCAGCAGCCGCGGUAAUACGGAGGGUGCAAGCGUUAAUCGGAAUUACUGGGCGUAAAGCGCACGCAGGCGGUCUGUCAAGUCGGAUGUGAAAUCCCCGGGCUCAACCUGGGAACUGCAUUCGAAACUGGCAGGCUAGAGUCUUGUAGAGGGGGGUAGAAUUCCAGGUGUAGCGGUGAAAUGCGUAGAGAUCUGGAGGAAUACCGGUGGCGAAGGCGGCCCCCUGGACAAAGACUGACGCUCAGGUGCGAAAGCGUGGGGAGCAAACAGGAUUAGAUACCCUGGUAGUCCACGCCGUAAACGAUGUCGACUUGGAGGUUGUGCCCUUGAGGCGUGGCUUCCGGAGCUAACGCGUUAAGUCGACCGCCUGGGGAGUACGGCCGCAAGGUUAAAACUCAAAUGAAUUGACGGGGGCCCGCACAAGCGGUGGAGCAUGUGGUUUAAUUCGAUGCAACGCGAAGAACCUUACCUACUCUUGACAUCCAGAGAACUUAGCAGAGAUGCUUUGGUGCCUUCGGGAACUCUGAGACAGGUGCUGCAUGGCUGUCGUCAGCUCGUGUUGUGAAAUGUUGGGUUAAGUCCCGCAACGAGCGCAACCCUUAUCCUUUGUUGCCAGCGGUUAGGCCGGGAACUCAAAGGAGACUGCCAGUGAUAAACUGGAGGAAGGUGGGGAUGACGUCAAGUCAUCAUGGCCCUUACGAGUAGGGCUACACACGUGCUACAAUGGCGCAUACAAAGAGAAGCGACCUCGCGAGAGCAAGCGGACCUCAUAAAGUGCGUCGUAGUCCGGAUUGGAGUCUGCAACUCGACUCCAUGAAGUCGGAAUCGCUAGUAAUCGUAGAUCAGAAUGCUACGGUGAAUACGUUCCCGGGCCUUGUACACACCGCCCGUCACACCAUGGGAGUGGGUUGCAAAAGAAGUAGGUAGCUUAACCUUCGGGAGGGCGCUUACCACUUUGUGAUUCAUGACUGGGGUGAAGUCGUAACAAGGUAGCC